CUUGAGAGAGGGAGCCCUGAGAUGGACUCUGAGACAUGAGUCCAGGCCCUACGGGGCGCAGCAGUCGCGAAAACUUCACAAUGGGGGAAACCCCGAUGAGGGAAUUCCAAGUGUCAGCACAUUGUGUUGACUGUUCCCCAGUCUAAAAAACCGGAGAAGUAAGGGCCGGGUAAGACGGGUGCCAGCCGCCGCGGUAAUACCCGCGGCCCGAGUGGUGGUCGAUAUUAUUGAGCCUAAAACGUUCGCAGCCGGUCUUGUAAAUCCUUGGGGAAAUCGACCAGCUUAACUGUUCGAAGUCCGGGGAGACUGCAAGACUUGGGAUCGGGAGAGGUCAGAGGUACUUCUGGGGUAGGGGUAAAAUCCUGUAAUCCUAGAAGGACCACCGGUGGCGAAGGCGUCUGACUAGAACGAAUUCGACGGUGAGGAACGAAGCCCUGGGGCGCAAACGGGAUUAGAUACCCCGGUAGUCCAGGGUGUAAACGCUGCGGGCUUGGUGUUGGGGGUCCUUAGUGGGCGCCCAGUGCCGGAGAGAAGUUGUUAAGCCUGCUGCUUGGGGAGUACGUUCGCAAGGAUGAAACUUAAAGGAAUUGGCGGGGGAGCACCGCAACGGGAGGAGCGUGCGGUUCAAUUGGAUUCAACGCCGGACAACUCACCAGGAACGACGAUUACAUGAAGGCCAGGCUGAUGACCUUGCCUGAUUUUUCGAGAGGUGGUGCAUGGCCGUCGUCAGUUCGUACCGUAAGGCGUUCUCUUAAGUGAGAUAACGAACGAGACCCUCACCGUUAAUUGCUAACUUCUUCUCCGGAGGGAGUGCACGUUAACGGGACCGCUGCCGCUAAGACAGAGGAAGGAGAGGUCAACGGUAGGUCCGUAUGCCCCGAAUUUCCUGGGCUACACGCGCGCUACAAAGGUUGGGACAAUGGGUUCCUACAUCGAAAGGU
Molecule: ribosomal RNA, 941 nt
Filed under: uncultured archaeon
Lineage: Archaea
Description: bacterial SSU rRNA
Rfam family: Archaeal small subunit ribosomal RNA
Source: RNAcentral